This 231-nucleotide ribosomal RNA is filed under the name uncultured bacterium. RNAcentral describes it as "partial 16S ribosomal RNA". It matches the Rfam family "Bacterial small subunit ribosomal RNA", at positions 99 to 334 of the family's 1533-position model. The record is from RNAcentral.
CGGACGGGUGAGUAAUGUCUGGGAAACUGCCUGAUGGGGGGGAUAACUACUGGAAACGGUAGCUAAUACCGCAUAACGUCGCAAGACCAAAGAGGGGGACCUUCGGGCCUCUUGCCAUCGGAUGUGCCCAGAUGGGAUUAGCUAGUAGGUGGGGUAACGGCUCACCUAGGCGACGAUCCCUAGCUGGUCUGAGAGGAUGACCAGCCACACUGGAACUGAGACACGGUCCAG